GACGAACCGUGCAAACGUUGUUCGGAAUCACUGGGCUUAAAGGGCGCGUAGGCGGCGAGUCAAGUCCGGGGUGAAAGCUUUCGGCUCAACCGGAAAAGGGCCUCGGAGACGGACUCGCUCGAGGGAGGUAGGGGCAAGUGGAACUUCCGGUGGAGCGGUGAAAUGCGUUGAUAUCGGAAGGAACGCCGGUGGCGAAAGCGACUUGCUGGACCUCGACUGACGCUGAGGCGCGAAAGCCAGGGGAGCAAAC
Molecule: ribosomal RNA, 250 nt
Filed under: uncultured bacterium
Lineage: Bacteria
Description: partial 16S ribosomal RNA
Rfam family: Bacterial small subunit ribosomal RNA
Source: RNAcentral